Molecule: long non-coding RNA, 280 nt
Organism: Mytilus trossulus (common blue mussel)
Lineage: Eukaryota; Metazoa; Mollusca; Bivalvia; Mytilida; Mytilidae
Exons: 3
Source: RefSeq, a predicted model, not a curated record
AUUCAUUUUUGUUUUUUACAGAACCUAGAUGUGGAGCUGUUUGUGCUAUAUCCUGUCCCUUUGGUAACGUACUGGAUGAAAACAACUGUCCAAUAUGUGAAUGCAAAACAGGAUGUGCAGGUAAUGUUGAACCAAAGCCUUUAACCAGCUGUGGUGCAGGUCAACAAAGAUGUCCCCCUCAAUAUCAAUGCAACACACCUCCUUUAGGUCGCAGUGGAGUAUGCUGUCCUUAUGUAUGUCCUCAAAUAAAAUGCAGUCGACCAUGUCCAAACGGGUAUAA